AUACGUAGGGUGCAAGCGUUAAUCGGAAUUACUGGGCGUAAAGCGUGCGCAGGCGGUUUUGUAAGACAGAGGUGAAAUUCCCGGGGGCAACCUGGGAAAUGCCUUUGUGAAUGCAAGGCUAGAGGACGGCAGAGGGGGAUGGAAUUACGCGAGGAGCAGGGAAAUGCGUAGAUAUUCGGAGGAACACCGAUGGCGAAGGCAAUCCCCUGGGCCUGUACUGACGCUCAUGCACGAAAGCGUGGGGAGCAAACAGGAUUAGAUACCCUGGUAGUCCACGCCCUAAACGAUGUCAACUGGUUGUUGGGUCUUCAUUGACUCAGUAACGAAGCUAACGCGUGAAGUUGACCGCCUGGGGAGUACGGCCGCAAGGUUAAAACUCAAAGGAAUUGACGGGG
RNAcentral lists this ribosomal RNA (395 nucleotides) under uncultured bacterium. RNAcentral describes it as "partial 16S ribosomal RNA". It matches the Rfam family "Bacterial small subunit ribosomal RNA", at positions 523 to 918 of the family's 1533-position model. The record is from RNAcentral.